This 253-nucleotide ribosomal RNA is filed under the name uncultured microorganism. RNAcentral describes it as "partial 16S ribosomal RNA". It matches the Rfam family "Bacterial small subunit ribosomal RNA", at positions 524 to 776 of the family's 1533-position model. The record is from RNAcentral.
UACGUAGGUGGCAAGCGUUAUCCGGAAUUAUUGGGCGUAAAGCGCGCGCAGGUGGUUUCUUAAGUCUGAUGUGAAAGCCCACGGCUCAACCGUGGAGGGUCAUUGGAAACUGGGGGACUUGAGUGCAGAAGAGGAAAGUGGAAUUCCACGUGUAGCGGUGAAAUGCGUAGAGAUGUGGAGGAACACCAGUGGCGAAGGCGACUUUCUGGUCUGUAACUGACGCUGAGGCGCGAAAGCGUGGGGAGCAAACAGG